Molecule: ribosomal RNA, 1480 nt
Filed under: metagenome
Description: bacterial SSU rRNA
Rfam family: Bacterial small subunit ribosomal RNA
Source: RNAcentral
AGAGUUUGAUCCUGGCUCAGGAUGAACGCUAGCGACAGGCCUAACACAUGCAAGUCGAGGGGUAACAUGAGUGCUUGCACUUGAUGACGACCGGCGCACGGGUGCGUAACGCGUAUGCAACUUACCUUGUACUGGGGAAUAGCCCGUGGAAACGCGGAUUAAUGUCCCAUAACACUACAAUUUCGCAUGGAAAAGUGGUUAAAGUUCCGACGGUACAAGAUGGGCAUGCGUGACAUUAGCUAGUUGGUGAGGUAAGGGCUCACCAAGGCGACGAUGUCUAGGGGUUCUGAGAGGAAGGUCCCCCACACUGGUACUGAGACACGGACCAGACUCCUACGGGAGGCAGCAGUGAGGAAUAUUGGUCAAUGGGCGCAAGCCUGAACCAGCCAUGUCGCGUGCAGGAAGACUGCCCUACGGGUUGUAAACUGCUUUUGUAUGGGAAGAAACGUUGGUACGUGUACCAAUUUGCCGGUACCAUACGAAUAAGGAUCGGCUAACUCCGUGCCAGCAGCCGCGGUAAUACGGAGGAUCCAAGCGUUAUCCGGAUUUAUUGGGUUUAAAGGGUGCGUAGGCGGUAGAAUAAGUCAGUGGUGAAAUCCUGCAGCUUAACUGUAGAACUGCCAUUGAUACUGUUUUACUUGAGUGUAAUUGAGGUAGGCGGAAUGUGUUGUGUAGCGGUGAAAUGCAUAGAUAUAACACAGAACACCGAUUGCGAAGGCAGCUUACUAAGUUAUAACUGACGCUGAUGCACGAAAGCGUGGGUAGCGAACAGGAUUAGAUACCCUGGUAGUCCACGCCGUAAACGAUGAUUACUCGCUGUAGGCAAUACACCGUCUGUGGCUGAGCGAAAGCAUUAAGUAAUCCACCUGGGGAGUACGUUGGCAACAAUGAAACUCAAAGGAAUUGACGGGGGCCCGCACAAGCGGAGGAACAUGUGGUUUAAUUCGAUGAUACGCGAGGAACCUUACCUGGACUUAAAUGUAGAUUGACGUAUCCAGAGAUGGAUAUUUCUUCGGACAAUUUACAAGGUGCUGCAUGGUUGUCGUCAGCUCGUGCCGUGAGGUGUCGGGUUAAGUCCCAUAACGAGCGCAACCCCUGUUGUUAGUUACCAGCACAUCAUGGUGGGGACUCUAACAAGACUGCCGGUGUAAACCGCGAGGAAGGUGGGGAUGACGUCAAAUCAGCACGGCCCUUACGUCCAGGGCUACACACGUGUUACAAUGGCCGGUACAGAGGGCAGCUACUUGGUGACAAGAUGCGAAUCUCAAAAACCGGUCUCAGUUCGGAUCGAAGUCUGCAACCCGACUUCGUGAAGCUGGAUUCGCUAGUAAUCGCAUAUCAGCCAUGAUGCGGUGAAUACGUUCCCGGGCCUUGUACACACCGCCCGUCAAACCAUGGAAGUCGAGGGUACCUGAAGUCUAUUACCGUAAGGAGCGGCCUAGGGUAAAACUGAUAACUAGGGUUAAGUCGAAACAAGGUA